This 254-nucleotide ribosomal RNA is filed under the name uncultured bacterium. Its description in RNAcentral is "partial 16S ribosomal RNA". It matches the Rfam family "Bacterial small subunit ribosomal RNA", at positions 524 to 776 of the family's 1533-position model. The record is from RNAcentral.
UACGGGGGGAGCAAGCGUUGUUCGGAUUUACUGGGCGUAAAGGGCGCGUAGGCGGCCACCGCAAGUCAGCGGUGAAAUCCCAGGGCUCAACCCUGGAACUGCCGUUGAUACUGGCGGGCUUGAGUUCGGUGAAGGCGGGCGGAACUGGCGGUGUAGCGGUGAAAUGCUUAGAUACCGCCAAGAACCCCGAUUGCGUAGGCAGCUCGCUGUGCCGAAACUGACGCUGAGGCACGAAAGCGUGGGGAGCGAACAGG